Molecule: long non-coding RNA, 481 nt
Organism: Cucurbita moschata (crookneck pumpkin)
Lineage: Eukaryota; Viridiplantae; Streptophyta; Magnoliopsida; Cucurbitales; Cucurbitaceae
Exons: 3
Source: RefSeq, a predicted model, not a curated record
GGAAGAGUUAGGGUUUUUAAGAAGAGGAAGAAGAAGGAUAGAGAAACGCCCAAACCUGAACUGAAGCACCCUCAAUCUGAGGUCUCCUACUAGAGCUAACUAGAGUAUCAAGAGGAAUGGUUUGAGCGUUGGAUUGUUCGUUUCCGGCAAGAAACGGGCAAGAACGUGAGGUGAGGAGUCUUGCAAGUUUUUAGAGGAAACGCGGCCAAAAAUCGCAUCGGAAAAUAAAAUCGAGAAACUGUCCUACUUCGGCUAUCGGCGACAGACACGCGGCCGCCGGAACGGGAGGACAUGCAUCGAGCAACUGGUGGAGGGACACGUCUGGCGCCUCCGCUGACAUGCAUCCGACGGUUGACCCGAAAAUCCGACCCGCACUCGGUGAAGCAACCCAACGACCCGCGGUCCAACCCGAAAGCUACCGCCAGUCCCUGUACGCACGUGUCAUGCCCAGAAAAUUUGAGGGGUAAGUCUACGUCUGCUG